AGCCUAGUGGUUAGAUCGUUGGGCCAGUAACCAGCAGGUAGCCUAGUGGUUAGAGCGUUGGGACAGUAACCAGUAGGUAGCCUAGUGGUUAGAUCGUUGGGCCAGUAACCAGCAGGUAGCCUAGUGGUUAGAUCGUUGGGCCAGUAACCAGCAGGUAGCCUAGUGGUUAGAGCAGGUAGCCUAGUGGUUAGGGCGUUGGGCCAGUAACUAGCAGGUAGCCUAGUGGUUAGAGCGUUGGGCCAGUAACUAGCAGGUAGCCUAGUGGUUAGAGCGUUGGGCCAGUAACCAGCAGGUAGCCUAGUGGUUAGAUCGUUGGGCCAGUAACCAGCAGGUAGCCUAGUGGUUGAGGCGUUGGGCCAGUA
This is a long non-coding RNA of Oncorhynchus tshawytscha (Chinook salmon), 362 nucleotides long. The record is from Ensembl. NCBI's taxonomy places the organism in Eukaryota, Metazoa, Chordata, Actinopteri, Salmoniformes, Salmonidae.